GGACCCGCACAAGUAGUGGAGCAUGUGGUUUAAUUCGAAGAUACGCGCAGAACCUUACCAACACUUGACAUGUUCGUCGCGACUUUAAGAGAUUAAAGUUUUCGGUUCGGCCGGACGAAACACAGGUGCUGCAUGGCUGUCGUCAGCUCGUGUCGUGAGAUGUUGGGUUAAGUCCCGCAACGAGCGCAACCCUCACUUUUAGUUGCCAUCAUUUAGUUGGGCACUCUGAAAGAACUGCCAGUGAUAAGCUGGAGGAAGGUGGGGAUGACGUCAAGUCCUCAUGGCCCUUACGUGUUGGGCUACACACGUGCUACAAUGCUCGGCACAAUGGGAUGCAAACGCCGCGAGGUU
This 351-nucleotide ribosomal RNA is filed under the name uncultured bacterium. Its description in RNAcentral is "bacterial SSU rRNA". It matches the Rfam family "Bacterial small subunit ribosomal RNA", at positions 917 to 1264 of the family's 1533-position model. The record is from RNAcentral.